RNAcentral lists this unclassified non-coding RNA (3500 nucleotides) under Diabrotica virgifera virgifera (western corn rootworm). RNAcentral describes it as "saccharopine dehydrogenase-like oxidoreductase". The record is from RNAcentral. Lineage: Eukaryota; Metazoa; Arthropoda; Insecta; Coleoptera; Chrysomelidae.
ACGGCUACAGGUGUUUCUCCUACAUGCAUGACUGAUGAGCUGAGCGGAAUAGUUUCCGGUACCGCUACCGCUGCUACCGGUUUUGUUCAACUUGGUUGAGGUGUUGAGUUGAAGUUGAGUUCCAGGCAGACUUAACAUAACAGACAUAUAUUUGUUCUUGUUGAGGCGAAAAACAUUGCAAAGAAAUUCUGACGUGGACGUGUCGGUCGGGUUGUAUUUUUGAUUUUUGUAGUGUCAUUGGUGUGGUGGUAGCUUGAUCCUGUUUUGAAACUCCUGAAGGUGCUGGAAAUACAUAAAAUUGUAAAAGGAUGGCCGAAGGAAGAUUAGAUUUUUUGAUAUUUGGGGCCACUGGUUUUACUGGUUUACACUGUAUUCCCUAUGUAUACAAAUUCGCUAAAGAAAAUGGAAGAAAUAUGGCAUGGGGUGUUGCUGGACGUUCAGAGGAAAGACUCAAGGAAGCUCUCGAAAAAAUGGGAAAGAAAGUUGAUGCCGACCUAUCAGAAAUAUCCAUUAUUGUAGCUGACGUUAAGGAUUAUGACUCUUUGGUUAAGAUGGCUAAAAGGGCAAAGGUAGUAAUUAACUGUUGUGGUCCAUUCAGAUUCUUUGGAUAUCCUGUCGUAAAAGCUUGCGUAGAGGCUGGUACUCACUAUGUGGAUGUAUGUGGGGAACCACAGUUUAUUGAAACUGUUGAGUUGGAGUAUAAUGAACUUGCUCGUGAGAAAGGUAUUUACAUCGUAAGUGCAUGUGGCUUGGACAGCAUCCCCUGCGAUCUGGGUUUGUUAUACUUGGAAGACAAAUUUGAUGGCGUUAUCAACUCAGCUGUAACUUACAUAAGUACCUGGAACGAAGAUAAAAAUUCGUCCGGUCCUGCUGUCAGUUAUGGGACAUGGCACAGCCUCGUUUAUGGACUUAAACAUGCCAAGGAAUUGUCGAGUAUAAGAAGAAAACUGUACCCUACGAAAUUGCCAAAUUUUAAACCUAAAUUGGAGACUACAACAAGACCCCACCGUUCAAGUAUCGCAAAUGGUUGGGCCCUACCAUUCCCAGGUGCCGACAAAUCAAUAAUGAAGAGGACUCAACGAUAUCUGUACGAACACCAGGAUAAAAGACCAAUACAAGUGGACACGUUCUUUAGGUUAUCAAAUUUUAUACAGACCUUCGUGAUGAUUAUUAUGUUUUUCGUUUGGUCAUUGUUUGUAAAAUUCGACUACGGCAAACAGCUAUUAUUGGACUAUCCUCACAUAUUUACGUUCGGAAUGUUCAGAAAAGACGUCACACCGUCAGAAGAGACGAUCGACUCAAGCUGGUUCAAGAUAACUUUCCAAGUCAUAGGAUGGAAAGAAAAACUAGCCAAUAAGGACGAUCAGUACGAUACUCCUCCAAAUAAAAUUGUCACUGCGUACAUUAAAGGAAAAAAUCCAGCAUACGGUACUACUUGCGCUUGCGUCGUUGGAGCUGCUCUCAUGAUACUUACCGAGAAAGAUAAAUUACCACCCAGUGGAGGUGUAUACACUCCUGGAGUGGCCUUUAGAAAGACCUCAUUGAUGGAGCUCCUCUUCAAAAAUGACGUGUCGUUUGAGAUUGUGAGCGAAAAAGUGUUGUAAAUCAUAUGUACUCAAUAUAUUUAAUGCAUAUAUUAGCUUGAAAUAAAUAUUUAAUGUUAACCAUGAUCUGUUUUUACGUAAUAUUUUGUGACCUAGUUUACAUAUUAACUUAUAGUUGCAAUCAAGUUAUUGCAGUAAACCUUAAUAUGCAGCUAAUUACAAAUUUAUUUUUGUUUGAGUAUUGUGGUUAAGCUUCCGGCACAGGUAGAAAGUAAGAAAUGUUAAAGAAAAAUUAUUGGAAGAAAAUCCUUUGUAAAAGGUAUAAAAACUUUUAUUAAAAUCACUUUAAGGGCUACAUCACAACAAAACGCUUUUGAUUUUCUUACAAAAUCAUCAUCAGUGUAAUAUUAAACCUAAAAAUAAGUAUAACCGUUUUAAUGAAUACAAAGUUGAUAUUUGUUGAUGUUAAUCUUUUGUACAUUUAAUUAUUAUACCUGCUCUUAUGUAUGUUUACCUCUUGAAACUUAAAAUUAAGGUUUUCUGCAACAACUUGAUGGCGACUGUAGUUCAACUUAAGUUGAGAUAUAAGUAAAGUCAAUUAAAUCAUGGCAUAGGUGGUUCCAUGACAUCUCGUAACGCGACAGUUCAUAACCGGACAGUUGGUAAUGGACAAUUCAUAAUAGUGACAGUUCGUAACGGCGACAGUUCGUAACUAUACAAAUUCGUAACGGACAGUUCGUAACCUCCAAAUUGAAUUAUUCUGUUUAUUGUUGUUAACGUGGAAACUAACUGUUACUACAGUUAUAAAUGAAAUUAUGUUUAUCAAUUUAACGAAUCAGUAUCAGGAUAAACAUUUUAAGGCAUUUCAUAUUUCUUGUUUCAGAAUAUAAUAAAAGUAGUUAAACCAAGUACCUAUUAAAGUAUUACAAGCCAUCCCUCUAUCAACUAUAACCGUUGAUUGAAUGCCCCAAAGCUAUUACCAAUCACAAGGUUUAUUAUAAUAACAGGUAAUUAUAAUCUUUCCUUUACAAAAUGUUUAUUUAAAAAGUUUGGAAUGUCUAAAGACGGUUGUAAGAUUAGAGAUUUCAGGAAUUAAGUACUUGAUUGUUCCUUUGUCUAGGUAUAUGCAAAUUUAAGGAACAAUAAGAGUGAUAAAAUUUUAAAAAUAGUGUUAAAAGUUUCUAUGUAUUUAAAUAUAUUUGUUUGUGUUUAAAGACUUUUAAUAGAUAUUCUGAAACACGAAAUAUAAAAAGUGUUAAACAUGUUUAUCCGUACUGAUUCGUUAAAUUGAUAAACAUAAUUUCAAUUAUAACUGUAAUAACAGUUAGUUUCCAAAAUUAACAAAAAUAAACAUAAUAAUUCAAUUUGGACGUUACGAAUUGUCCGUCACGAAUUUGUAUAGUUACGAACUGUCGUCGUUACCAAGUGUCGCCGUUACGAACUGUCGCUGUUACGAAUUGUCCGUUACCAACUGUCCGGUUACGAACUGUCGCGUUACGAGGUGUCUGUCACGGGCAUAGGUACAUAUAUUUUUAUAUAAUAAGCAUUUAGACAUUCUACUAGUUUAAUGGGUUUGUUAAUGACAGUAUAGAGUACUACUAACAUAACAGGUCGUGGAAGCUAUGCAUUUAUGAGUUUACUUAAUAGUUUUGUUUCCACGAUCUCUGCUUUCUUGGCCAUACCUUUAAACAUUAAUAUUAAUAAACAUAUUAUGUAUUUUUUUAUAUUAUACUUGUAUACCUUAAUUUAUUUUAGUGUAAGUGUACUUAUAGGUGGCUAGUGACUAGAAAAUAAUUAUUUUUCUCACAAUGAAUGAAUUAACAGUAUUUAAAUCUUAAUUAAUAUUGAGAUUUAAGAAAAAUAACACUUUUCUUAACAUAAAUUGAUAUUUAUAAUGUUUAAUUUAUGUUGUUUUAACUAAUUGGUUAGUAGUAAUAAAACAUGUAUUUCUGUGUU